AACGGCCGCGGGAUCCUACACCGUGCAAAGGUAGCAUAAUCACUUGUCAUCUAAAUAAUGACUAGUAUGAACGGCCCUAUGAGGACUUCCCUGUCUCUUGUAACCAAUCAAUGAAACUGAUCUCCCAGUACAAAAGCUGGGAUAAAACCACAAGACGAAAAGACCCUGUGGAACUUAUAAGUGCUAAUCAAUAACAUGACACAAACACUUUUAGUUGGGGCAACUUUGGAACAAAACAAAACUUCCAAUUAUAGGGUAUUCUUAACCCGAAACUAAGUCCACACACUAAUUUUUGACCCACCAAUUGACCCAGUAUUACUGAUAAAAGAAACAAGCUACCCCAGGGAUAACAGCGCCAUCCCCUCCUAGAGCCCAAAUCGACGAGCGGGGCUUACGACCUCGAUGUUGGAUCAGGGCCCCCAAACAGUGCAGCAGCUGUUAAAGGUUUGUUUGUUCAACAACUAAU
Molecule: ribosomal RNA, 466 nt
Filed under: Aspidoscelis sexlineatus sexlineatus
Lineage: Eukaryota; Metazoa; Chordata; Lepidosauria; Squamata; Teiidae
Description: Aspidoscelis sexlineata sexlineata partial 16S ribosomal RNA
Rfam family: Bacterial large subunit ribosomal RNA
Source: RNAcentral